This 1529-nucleotide ribosomal RNA is filed under the name Bacillus sp. (in: firmicutes). RNAcentral describes it as "bacterial SSU rRNA". It matches the Rfam family "Bacterial small subunit ribosomal RNA". Lineage: Bacteria; Bacillati; Bacillota; Bacilli; Caryophanales; Bacillaceae. The record is from RNAcentral.
GAGGGACGUUUUUUAUUUUUUUUCUGGGUCCGGGCGAACCCGGUUAGAGUUCCUUAAUCACUCAAAUUGAACGCGCCCACCGGGACUUUCUUCCCUAAGUCAAACGCCGAAGGGUUAGUUACCCGGGGGGGACCCGUCCGGAAAGGUUGGGUAACUCCCGGGAAACCGGGCCUAAACCCGGUGCUUUGCUUUAACCCCUGGGUUCAAUCAUAAAAGGUGGCUUUCAGCUACCACUUACAGAUGGACCCGCGGCGCAUUAGCUAGUUGGUGAGGUAACGGCUCACCAAGGCGACGAUGCGUAGCCGACCUGAGAGGGUGAUCGGCCACACUGGGACUGAGACACGGCCCAGACUCCUACGGGAGGCAGCAGUAGGGAAUCUUCCGCAAUGGACGAAAGUCUGACGGAGCAACGCCGCGUGAGUGAUGAAGGUUUUCGGAUCGUAAAACUCUGUUGUUAGGGAAGAACAAGUACCGUUCGAAUAGGGCGGUACCUUGACGGUACCUAACCAGAAAGCCACGGCUAACUACGUGCCAGCAGCCGCGGUAAUACGUAGGUGGCAAGCGUUGUCCGGAAUUAUUGGGCGUAAAGCGCUCGCAGGCGGUUUCUUAAGUCUGAUGUGAAAGCCCCCGGCUCAACCGGGGAGGGUCAUUGGAAACUGGGGAACUUGAGUGCAGAAGAGGAGAGUGGAAUUCCACGUGUAGCGGUGAAAUGCGUAGAGAUGUGGAGGAACACCAAUGGCGAAGGCGACUCUCUGGUCUGUAACUGACGCUAGGCGGGAAAGCGUGGGGAGCGAACAGGAUUAGAUACCCUGGUAGUCCACGCCGUAAACGAUGAGUGCUAAGUGUUAGAGGGUUUCCGCCCUUUAGUGCUGCAGCAAACGCAUUAAGCACUCCGCCUGGGGAGUACGGUCGCAAGACUGAAACUCAAAGGAAUUGACGGGGGCCCGCACAAGCGGUGGAGCAUGUGGUUUAAUUCGAAGCAACGCGAAGAACCUUACCAGGUCUUGACAUCCUCUGACAACCCUAGAGAUAGGGCUUCCCCUUCGGGGGCAGAGUGACAGGUGGUGCAUGGUUGUCGUCAGCUCGUGUCGUGAGAUGUUGGGUUAAGUCCCGCAACGAGCGCAACCCUUGAUCUUAGUUGCCAGCAUUCAGUUGGGCACUCUAAGGUGACUGCCGGUGACAAACCGGAGGAAGGUGGGGAUGACGUCAAAUCAUCAUGCCCCUUAUGACCUGGGCUACACACGUGCUACAAUGGGCAGAACAAAGGGCAGCGAAGCCGCGAGGCUAAGCCAAUCCCACAAAUCUGUUCUCAGUUCGGAUCGCAGUCUGCAACUCGACUGCGUGAAGCUGGAAUCGCUAGUAAUCGCGGAUCAGCAUGCCGCGGUGGAAUACGAUACCNGCCCUUGUACACACCGCCCGUCNCACCACGAGAGUUGUACACCCGACNUCNGUGAGGUACCUAUNNAUGCNGCCGCGANNNCGGNACAGAUGAUUGGNGNUGAGACUAANAGGUNAACGGNAANCGUAAA